GUCUCUGUGGCGCAAUUGGUUAGCGCGUUCGGCUGUUAACCGAAAGGUUGCUGAUUCAAGCCCAGCCAGGGACG
Non-coding RNA from Ciona savignyi (Pacific transparent sea squirt), 74 nucleotides. Lineage: Eukaryota; Metazoa; Chordata; Ascidiacea; Phlebobranchia; Cionidae. The record is from Rfam.